ACUGCCAAACAGGGCAGGAAAACUGUAUUUAAGGCUGCCUCAAAGCCUAGCAAAUCAGACUUCGCCGAUGGGUACCAGUGCCUCAGAAACUGAGACAACCUCCCACUUCGUCCGCAGCCUACCCGAAGUCCCAAGCUUGCAGGAAGGGAUAUACCUGUGUGGCGUCCUUUGUACUUUGGUAACCCAGUGUCGGACCUGAGACUUACUCUUACCGGCUACACUCCCACUCAAAGUUCUUCAUUUAUGGUUGUGGUGCCCUUCUGCUUUUGAGGAGAUGAUCAUUCAUAUUUGAGAACAUGUCAGAGUAAAAGUAGUCAAAGCGCCGAGAUAUAUGGCAAAAUGGUGAUGGUGCUGAGCUCUCUGGUGAUAGCGCUGAGGUCUCCUCCACCCACUAAAAUGAUUUAUUCAAGUGAAAAGCAAGAAGGGAGAAGGUACAGCGCUUGACUUCCUCUGCUUACUGUUCAGGAAACAUCUAAUUCAUAAGAGAGUUCCUGUAGUCCCGGAUCCUCAUGUUUAUGUUGGGAAAUAUUGAAGAAGAACCUUACUCCAACAGAGAAGUCCUCUUGGAGCCUGCGCCAAGUAGGAUCUGGGAGUUUGAAAUAUUCUGCAUAAUUGCAAAUGCCUGUGAACUUUUGAUCCAAAUUUUAUUCUCUGAUCUCAGUUGAAAUGUUUUUUCUACAAGCUACACAUUGAAGUUUUGUUGCUGCCCAAUUUUUAUUUCUGCAUCCAAUUUUCAAAAUUCUUUCGAGAAUAGGUUUAAGCUAUAUUGGCAUCACAGAUAAAGGCAUCCUUAAUCACCUUCCCAUCAGAGUUAGUCCACAUACAAGCUGGGCUGAUGGAGAUGCCAGGAGUGCUUUAUAGAGUCACUGAUUUCUUUGUAGUCUCUGAACUGCCCUCUCUACUUCCUCACUGGUCUGUGGGCAAUGUGGAUGACAAGUAUGAUUAAAAUCAAAGUCCUGUGGAAAUACUAGGAAUAUUUUGGAUGCAAAUUGAGAGUGAUUAUCAGCUGUGAGUACUUCAGGAACUGCUUGUAUUGCAGAUAUUGACUUGGAUUUCUGCAUGACCAGUUCUGAUUAAGUCUGUUUAAGUACUGCUAAGUCAAUGUAUCUGGAGAAGUAAUCAAUUUCAAUAAUGUGUAUGUGUACUUUCCACAAAAAAGAAUCCUUGACUACCCAUCACCAAGGUCUGUCAGAUAAUUUUGCAGAGCAUAUUGAAUCUGGUGAUUGGUGGUGGUUUUAUUCUCCUCCAUCCGUCCACAUACCUCCAUGAGGCAUAUCCCAUAGUCUUCUAUUAAGUCAAUUAAGGUCUGAAUUUACCUAUUCAUAAUGGGCCACCAUGUAAAUUGCUGUGCUCGUACCCUGCACUUGUUUAUCCUUUGUUUAUGAAUUUGGGAGAACAUCUCUUCAUGAAGUACCAUGCCACCUUUUUGAAGCAGGCCCUCAGACAUGUAAAAGUCUUUUUGGUCUUGCCAAUAUGGUAUUACAUUCACUAGGCUCCUUCAACCCCAACCUUUUUCACAUUGUUGAAGUCUGGAAAGACUCAUCUUUUAAUUAUUUGUCUUUAUUCUCUUGAAGUUGGUGGGUAGAUACUGCCAGAAAAGGUCCAGAUAGAGGUAAGACACAUCUUCACUUGCCAUGCCAGAGAUUGCUCUUCUGGCAUUUGAUUUAGUGGGUCUAGUUAAGGCCCAUAAAUUGAAUGCUGAAGGCUGUUCUGGCUGGUACCUGUACUCCUUGCAAUUGCAAGGAGUCAGGGAAGCCGAAGGGAGCAUUUGCUCCCAUUGGCCUCCUUCCAUGAAGACAGUGCCAAGUUC
Molecule: non-coding RNA, 1810 nt
Organism: Pelodiscus sinensis (Chinese soft-shelled turtle)
Lineage: Eukaryota; Metazoa; Chordata; Testudines; Trionychidae
Source: RefSeq, a predicted model, not a curated record